This 632-nucleotide ribosomal RNA is filed under the name Cantharellus sp. NKZ-2022b. RNAcentral's name for it is "partial large subunit ribosomal RNA". It matches the Rfam family "Eukaryotic large subunit ribosomal RNA", at positions 81 to 768 of the family's 3401-position model. The record is from RNAcentral. Lineage: Eukaryota; Fungi; Basidiomycota; Agaricomycetes; Cantharellales; Hydnaceae.
CAGUAACUGCGAGUGAAGAGGGAAGAGCUCAUCAUUGGAAUCUGGCAGUGUUGCACUGUCCGAGUUGUAGAUGAGGAGUAGCCCAUCUGGACUGCAUGGCAUCCAAGUACAAUAGGCCGUCAGUGGGACAUCAUAGAGGGUGACAAUCCCGUCCUUGAUGCCAAUGUGCAAGUCCGCUUACGAUGGCUAUCUCAGAGAGUCGAGCAGUUUGGGAUUUGCUGCUUAAACAUGGGAGGUAGAUUCCUUCUAAAGCUAAAUACAGGCGAGAGACCGAUAGAGAACAAGUACCGCAAGGGAAAGAUGAAAUAGAACUCUGUGAAGGGAGUCAAAAGGCGUGAAAUUGUUGCGAGAGAAGCGAUUCAAGUCAGCGUAGCUAGGCCCAUCAAGCCUCUUUGCUUUGGACUAGCUUUGCCAGCGGUCUUGUCCUAGAGACUUGACUUUGUAUUAACAUGUCCAGCCUGGUAUACACAGGUAGCCCCUCUUGGGGGGCCAGUGGCAUGGCUGGUGGAAUGGCUUGCAAUCGACCCGUCUUGAAACACGGACCAAGGAGUCUAACAUGUAUGCGAGUAUAAGGGUGGCAAACCCGUAUGCGCAAUGAAAGUGAUUUUCGGCGAUUAAGAAUGGCCUGAUGA